AUAAAUGUCCUAGUGCUUCCUACAUCAUGGCAAAAGUGUACUGCAUAUGGGUAAGCUACUUUGUGACAUACAACACCUUUGCCAUUUGCUUUCUCUUCCACUUUUUCGAUGGUAUAUGCUUGCACCUCUGGAGUUUCCUUCUCUACUUCAGUGGACAUUGCUAUAAUAUUGUUUGUUCCCAGGUGAGAUAAGGUGAAAUCAAUCAUAGAUUCCAAAGAAGUGGCACAAUGUUUUACCUCUCCGUUACCCGCAGGCUCUUCACACGUUUUGAUUGUUUUCUUGAUGUCUUUAGCACGUUCUGAGUCCUUAUCAACAGAGAAGUGAUUAAGAAUUUCCUCAAUUUUGUCCGAUGAGAAAGCGAUGGAAUCUACAACUUUGCGUGGCAAAAUGGGUGCUGGAUUGUAGUUUUUGAGAGACUGAAGAUUCAUUUUUUUCCCUUGAUGUAAAUCUGUUUCAAAGAAGUAUGGCGUCACUGGGUGAUUGUCAUUAAGAUCUUUCUUAGCAGCAUCAUUGUACCAUACACCCACUCCAUAUGGUUGGCGUACUUUGUGAAGCUCGUUCUCGGGGGCAGCCUGAUACCAUGAAUCCACUCCCCAUGGUUGGCGUACUUUGUGAAGCUCGUUCUCAAAGGGCAGCCUGAUACCAUCUACCCACUCCCCAUGGUUGGCGUACUUUGUGAAGCUCGUUCUCAGGGGCAGCCUGAUACCAUCUACUCACUCCAUAUGGUUGACGUACUUUGUGAAGCUCACUCUCUGCCAACAGAAGUAUUCGAAAACAAAAGACCUUAGUAUUAAUUUGAUCUUUUUUUCCUUAUGAAACAACAUAAUAGGCAAGCAAUAUGCCUUCAAAUGGUGCGUAUUUUUAACAAACGAUUGAAAAACUCUUAGAUUUAUUUACUUUUCAAUUAGGUGCUUCAUCUUUCCUCUAUUUUACUGCAAUCGAUACGUCCCUUUCAUACUACCUCUACUUUUUGUACUUCUGAUUUUUAAUGAAUUGGAAGAACAUGAGAAAAUUUUCAAAAUUUUGUUUUUAUUUUUUUGUUUGGAUGUGAAAAGAUUAGGGGUGUCCAUGGUUCGGUUCAGCCAGUUAUUUUAAAGUUAAUACCAUUUUUUUGAUUGGUCUAUUUUUAUGACCAAAGUUGGAACCAUUCAAUCAUCUUGAUUUCUCUUUAGCAUCAGUAUAAUUAAGUUAAUUUUUAAUAUAUAUUCGUAUAUGUCAUUAAAAUUCACAACUAAAAAUUCGAACAUGAAAUCAUUGGUACUUGCAUAUAACUUUGGUAAAAAUUCGCUAAAUUUCUAUAGAGAUUUAUCCCACUAUUCUACAAUGUGAAAAAUAAAUUAAGUAAAUAAGAGAAAUUUAAAUCAUAUAAUCAAGUGGAAAUCUAUUAAUCAAGAUGAGACUCGUAGAGAAAUCUAAAUCAUACGAUAGGGAAGAUAUUAAAAAAAUUAUGCAUAGUUAAUCUGAUCGUUGGAAUACCUUAUGGUUUGCUAAUCAAGUUAUUGGAACUAAUUUAGUUUCAAUAAGAGUCGUAUAUAUAAUAGUUUUAAAGUUGAAACUUUUUACUUGUUUGUUAAUUUUCAACCUGAUUCAUAACUAAUUAAUGCAUAAAUUUAUUAAAUACAACCCGAUAUAUAUUUUUAAAAUUUAUUUUUAUAAAAUUAAAAAUUUAUCCUAAUUAUUUGGUAGAUUAUGGAUUUAUUUGGUAAACUAUGCACGCGACCAAAAUGCAUACCUCAUUUAACAACAAAUACUACAAGAAAAAAAAAUGAAUUUAACUUUGAACUUCAUUAUUCAUCCAUCGUCAAAAUUUUCGGAGCUAAGAACUCUUUUUAAUAACUCGUUAUUAAUUUGUCGCUAAAUAGAAAUAGCUAUCAUUUUCAUGUUUGUUUAGUAAUAAAAUAACUUAAUAUAUAAAAGGAAAAAGGAUAAAAAAUGCUCUUAAACUUUGUGAAAGGAACAAAAUGUCAUCCGUUUAUAGUUUCGCUCAAAAAUGUCGUUGCCAUCAAUACUUUGGUUAAAAAAUGUCUUGCAGUCAAUACUUUGGUCCAGAAAUGCCCCUAUAAUUACUAAAUGGGUCAAAAAUACCAUUUUUCAAAUACAUAUUUUUUUUUUCUUUUUAAACACAUCUCAGUCCUAAUUAAAAUAUUAUUAAAGAACCAUGUUCUUGUUUUCUUUCUUUUAAAAUCACUUUAACAAAGNNNNNNNNNNNNNNNNNNNNNNNNNNNNNNNNNNNNNNNNNNNNNNNNNNNNNNNNNNNNNNNNNNNNNNNNNNNNNNNNNNNNNNNNNNNNNNNNNNNNNNNNNNNNNNNNNNNNNNNNNNNNNNNNNNNNNNNNNNNNNNNNNNNNNNNNNNNNNNNNNNNNNNNNNNNNNNNNNNNNNNNNNNNNNNNNNNNNNNNNNNNNNNNNNNNNNNNNNNNNNNNNNNNNNNNAAUUGAAGUAAGAUAAACAUUUGCUAAUUUAAAAAAAUAUUAUUAGAAAAAAAUGUGUUAAAAAGAAUAUAAACAAUAUAUUUAUUUGAAAAAUAGUUGAGAGACAUUUUAAGCCCUUCUCUAUUUAAUAUAAUAUAAAUAGUAAAAUUGUUUUUCUCUGUUUUAAUGAAUCUUACCAGAAAUGUGUAGUGCAUCUUUGAUAGGCGUGGGCAUGGGAGUAUUAGGCAAUUUGACUCUCCAAUACACCUCAGGAGAUAAAUUUGCUGCAUGACUUACCACAAAAAUUACCUAAACACAACAACAACAAUUAAUUAAUUAAUUGUUCAUAUAUAAUCUACUUAUUUUUUUUUCAAUUGAACAUUAAAAAUAAAUUAAAUACUAUUAAUUUACUCACAGAAAAAAAUGUGAAGAAAUAAUAUUGGUGAUGCAACUCCAUUGUAAAUGUAUUUGCACACAAUAUAAUGUUUGGCUAUGGGAUAUGAUUGUGAGAAAAUUGCUAGCCAAUUUAUAGGGGUUAAACAAGUGCCUUUAUGGAAAUAUGUAAUAAAUAUUAAAUUAUAUAGUUAUCUUAUCUUAUAAUUAAAUAAUUUGAGAUAUGUUCAUUCUAGAUCUGAGAUAGUUACACAGUACACACUCUGCCCCUCAUGCUGAAUUUAUUCUCUGUAACUAAUGGUGACAAAUGGACGAGUCAAAUAUUAUAUCAGUUCUGUCCCCUUAAAUUAAUAUUACAAGUAUGAUUUUUCGGGAACUGCGUCCUCAUAUAAUUUUAUAAUGGCACGUCAUUGUCAUAUGCAGUAAUAAUAAUGUUCAUUUUAUUGAAAAAAUCUGUAUUUGACUAAUAGAAUAAUAAACAGUCCAUAAAUGGCAAUACUACAAUCUUUCCCAUGCAUUUCUCGUGAUUCCUUUUUUUUUAAUAAAUUAUAAUCUUUAUAAUCUUUUCAUUAUAGAAACGGUUAGAAGCAGUGGCGGAUCCAGGAUUUCUGUGAAGGGGUUCAAAAUAUAAAGAAGUAAACAUGUGAAAAUUAUAAGAUGAAAAACUGAGCGACAUAAGAGGAAACUAGUAAUCUGAAUCCAAUAAAUUUAACUUGCCUUGUCAUGCCGCAUUUAGUUUUUUUUUACUUUUACCCUAUUUCAUCGAGCUUUUUAAAAAAAUAUUUCUUGUGUUUUCUCUCUCUUUUAUAUUGCAAUGUUCUACUCUAUUUUUUGAAUUUUUCUUAAAUUCAACCACUAUAUAUAUAUUCAGAAGAUAAAUAAUUGACAUCGUCGAUUUUUUAGUUCAUUUAAUUCAAUUUACUAGAUUAGACAUUCAUGAAAAAAAAAUGAUGAAUAGAACAAAUAAGUUUAGUUUAGUAGAAAUAGUAUAAAAUUAAGGGGGGGGGGGGGGGGGGGAGGAUCAAUUAAUUAGAUUUUUAUAAUUAAGAUUAUUCACGAACUUUAAAAUUUCUUCAUUCGAUUAACUUUAAUUCAAUUUAUUUUAUAUAUAUUUUUUUUUUGUAAAUCAAUUUCAAAUUUAAUAAUAAUUCAUCGUUAGUACAUGGAAAGAGACUUAUGUAGAAAUAAAAUGAGAAGUUUAAAUAAGAAGAAUAAAAGAUAAAAGUAUCUAAAAUAUGUCUAAUAAAUUUAAACAAAGAUAAAUUGAGAAAAAGAAAUAGCAUAGAGAGAAAAAUAAUGAUAACAAAAAUAAUAAGGGAAAAUUAGCAAACUAGUCACAAACUUUAACAUAAUUAUUAAAAAUAUCUACACUUUAAAAUAAUUAUUAAAAAUGUCAAUAUGUCAAUAUUUUAGAAAAUAAAUUGAACCCUGAUAAUCAAAAUGCCAAUAUUUUGACAUUUAAUAGGAUCCCUUAGCCAUACUUUCAAUAUUUAUUUAAAAUGUCAAUAAUUUAAUUUGUUAUGUAUUUGAUUUAUGUAGUUUCUUAUUUGUUUGAUUUGCAAGAAUACAAUUAUUUAAUAACAGAAAGGAGAAAAUCAAGAGAGAUAAUAUUUUAAAAUAGAAACAUAUCACUUAAAAUUCUCAUCAGUUACAAUUUCAAAGAAAGCAACUUUUAUUUUAUUAUGUUUUUGUCACACCCCGAGCCUACACCCUGGACGGGACUGACACUCGAAGACCAUUGUUGGCCCCAAGCGAACCCUUGGCCUGGCUUACUUAACUCAACGGAAGACUUAAACUCAACAAAGGUAAGUUCGUAUAAUAAACUGGAAUGUCAUAAAGGAACAUUCAACUGGCCAUUAAGGCAAACUCAAGUCUCAACAUGGAAUAAUGACAAUGAAAAGACUAAAGAACCAACAUUUGACUGUCUAUGAAGCCUCUAAUAACAACUGAGAUGGAUGUUGGGACAAACUCCACAACAUCCUAAUGAACUAAACUAGAAAACAAUAGAAAUGGAUCCUCCGGAAUGGAAGGAGGCUCACCAACAAACUCUGAACUGCUCACUGGAUCAACGAUGCGUCAGAAUGCCGAUCCUAGUUACCUGCAUCAUAAGACGAUGCAGGCCAGCUGACAUCAGUACAUUGAAUGUACGAGUAUGCGAGUUGGAGUGCUAAACAUAACAUAGGCUUGAAAAGGAUCUGAAAGAAACACUUACCUAGGCUCUUCUCAAUUCAUGAAUACUUAACUGAACUCAUUUCAUUAUAAAACAGUUUAAAACAAGUGCAAUAUAAAGAAAAAGAAAACAAGUGCUAAUCAUUGCAUAUGAAUAUGAUUUAUGAAAGAAUACAAGAUUCUGGAAAAAAAUUUAGCAUACAUGGUGGAAAUAAUACAAUAUGUUGAGGAAAGAUACAAUAUUCUAAAAAAUAUAUAAAUUGACUAUAAAAGAAAUAGAGAUACAAGAUUCUGGAAAAAAAAUAGCAUACAUGGUGAAAAUAAUACAAUCUGUUGAGGAAAGAUACAAUAUUCUAAAAAAAUAAAUACAAAUUGGCUGUGAAAAAAAAUAGAAUACAUCUAUGCUUAAGAAAUAUAAAUCAAUUUGACAUACUUAUUUGAAUGACUACAAACUAAAAAAGAAACACAAUGUUCUUAAUAAAAAUACAAAUGUUGAGUAAAAGAAAAACAAUUGACAAACAAAAAUUAAUAUGAAUACAAUCUUGGUAUGAAUACAAAUUAACUUUCUUCUCCCAGUCUCUCUUUCUUCUUCUUCUUCUUCGUCUACUAUUUUGCUUUUUUUUUUUUGACUUUUUUUUAUACCAAACUCAAAUCCAUAUCCGUAUUCACUUGUGCAUAUAUUAGUAACCCUAUAAACAAAAUUAGAAAUUAUUAAUUAUGAAUGUAUAAAAAUUCAAACAAUAUAUGAUGUAUGAAUGCUAAUGUAGAUUACUACAAUUUCAAACAUUUAAAUAUCCAAAACAGAGGACAUUAGAAAUUUUCCAACACUUCCACUCAUAUAAGAUAUAAAAUACAAACAACUAUUUUUUUUAAAAAAAAUUGAAAUUCUUAAGAACAAAGAAAAAAACGCUAGAAAGAAAAUUGGCAACAUGUGCCCUUUCAAAAACAUAACUGAUGUUAAAUUUUUUAGAAAAAUUACCUUUUUUGAAAUUUUUUGUUCCAUGAUUUUCUCUAUUCAGUUAUUAAUUGUUUGUAUUCUUUCAAAUUAAUCAAAAUAAAAUAAAUACAUAACUCAAUCCAUAACAAAUUAAAAUAUUGACAUUUUAAAUAAAUAGUGAAACUAUUACUAAGGAAUCCCAUUAAAAGCUAAAAUAUUAUUGUUUUGAAAAUUUUCCCAUUUUUAUUUAUUUAUUUGCUACAGUACGGUUUUUAUCAUAUCAAUAAUCAAAUGGCAAAUAGAAAAAAUAUACAACAAAACAACUCUUCCCAUGCAUUUCAUGUGAUCCCUUUUAUUUUAUUUUAUUAUAAGUAAGUAACAAUCAUUGUAUUCUUUUCAUAACCUUUAUAAUAUGCUUUGUAUUAUUUGUUUUCACUGUGAUUUUUAAUCAUUUACAAACCAAUUCAUUAAAUAUAUAUAUUUUUCAAUCAUAAUGUGUCUUGUCACUUACAGUACGUCUCAACACUUUGUCAUACAAAGUAGGCAAGUUCGAAUGAGCUUUAGGUAUCAAUUUUUUUUAUUUCAAACGGUACGUUAGGUAUCAAUUUUUUUUAUUUCAAACAGUAUGUUACAUUUAUUUAUUUAAUAAGAUUCGUCCGAAGACAUACAAAUAGGAACAAGCUUUAGGUAUCAUUGAUAGUGUACCCCUUAAGCAGAGGAACAAUUAUUUUUCGAGCAAAUAAAAAAAAUACUAAAAGGCAGAAAUAAUAUAAAUUUUAGGUAUAACAAACAUAAAAAUUAUAUUAGCGCUCUAUAGCUAUAAUUUUGCUAUUUGCGUUGGAGCAUCUGAUUUGUAUAAACCAAAUCAAUUUGUAUGAAUCGCGGCAUUUGUGUCUAUGAAAAUUGUGUUUGUAUAUGUAUAUGUUCUUUGUGUUAGGCUAGAGUGACGAGCGAGAUUAUGAGAGAGAGGAGAGAGGGAGAGAGUGAAGAGAAGUGAAUUGUAUAUGUAUAUCGGUUAGAUAAUUGUAUAUAUGUAACUACUAUGUAUAUGUAUCAAUGAUUGUGUUUGUAUAUCUGCAUAAAAUUUGAAUUUGUAUACAAUUGGAUCGCGUUAAAACAUCUGUAUUUGUAUAUCAAAUCUCUCUCUCGCUUUAUACAAACAUAAAUUGUACAUUGUAUUUUCCCUAAUAUGUCAUACACUAUUAUACAUUGUAUAACGUUGUGAGAGUUUUAAUGGUGCUUGGAGAUGGAUAAAUUUGAAUGUUAUACACUAUUAUACUUUGAAUAUGUGUAUUUGAUCGUUUAAACUAAAUUGGUUUAUUCAUUUUUAUGGGAAGUGAAAUAAUAUCAUAUCAUUUAGUUUUGUAAGAAAGCAUAUAUAUAUAGUUAGUUGAUUUAUACUGUUUGGAUGAUUCUAAGAUAAUUGGUGUUGAGGAAUAUUGCAAGAAAGACUCUUAAAUCUAUUUGAAAACAAGAUGUCAUAAUCUCCAUUACCACAUAUAUUCAUCAACCAUAUUUGAAAUACAAGCCAAACAUUUUCAUCCACACAUGCAAACAACGUGCAUGAUGAACUAUGAUUAACACAGUUAAACAGUACUUGCAUCAGGGCAAGCAUUAUUACACAAAACAUUGCAAUAAACAGUAUUUACAUCAGGGAGAUACAUUUUCAGAUGAAGCAUUGGGACUAUUGCAACAAAGGAGCAGGUAAUGACUGAACGUUCUUCAUGUUAGUUUUCAGCCACUUGAAGAACUGCGUUUUGAGAAGGAAACAGGGCAAUUUGAUCGUCCAAAGUGAAAUGGCAAAUAGGCUUGUCUCCAGGCUUAACGUUGAGCAACUGAAAAGGCAAUGCCUUAGGGUUCAUGGAUGCAGUAUCCUCAUGGCAGACUGAUACUGCAUUAACUUUUGUUCCAUCAGCACCCACCAUAGACACCAUAAAUGUCCUAGUGCUUCCUACAUCAUGGCAAAAGUGUACUGCAUAUGGGUAAGCUACUUUGUGACAUACAACACCUUUGCCAUUUGCUUUCUCUUCCACUUUUUCGAUGGUAUAUGCUUGCACCUCUGGAGUUUCCUUCUCUACUUCAGUGGACAUUGCUAUAAUAUUGUUUGUUCCCAGGUGAGAUAAGGUGAAAUCAAUCAUAGAUUCCAAAGAAGUGGCACAAUGUUUUACCUCUCCGUUACCCGCAGGCUCUUCACACGUUUUGAUUGUUUUCUUGAUGUCUUUAGCACGUUCUGAGUCCUUAUCAACAGAGAAGUGAUUAAGAAUUUCC
Molecule: long non-coding RNA, 8175 nt
Filed under: Solanum tuberosum (potato)
Lineage: Eukaryota; Viridiplantae; Streptophyta; Magnoliopsida; Solanales; Solanaceae
Description: long non-coding RNA (STUB_LNC008369)
Source: RNAcentral